GAUGAACGCUGGCGGCGUGCCUAAUACAUGCAAGUCGAGCGAACAGACGAGGAGCUUGCUCCUCUGACGUUAGCGGCGGACGGGUGAGUAACACGUGGAUAACCUACCUAUAAGACUGGGAUAACUUCGGGAAACCGGAGCUAAUACCGGAUAAUAUAUUGAACCGCAUGGUUCAAUAGUGAAAGACGGUUUUGCUGUCACUUAUAGAUGUAUCCGCGCCGCAUUAGCUAGUUGGUAAGGUAACGGCUUACCAAGGCAACGAUGCGUAGCCGACCUGAGAGAGUGAUAGGCCACACUGGAACUGGAACACGGUCCAGACUCCUACGGGAGGGAGCAGUAGGGAAUCUUCCGCAAUGGGCGAAAGCUUGACGGAGCAACGCCGCGUGAGUGAUGAAGGUCUUCGGAUCGUAAAACUCUGUUAUUAGGGAAGAACAAAUGUGUAAGUAACUAUGCACGUCUUGACGGUACCUAAUCAGAAAGCCACGGCUAACUACGUG
Molecule: ribosomal RNA, 497 nt
Filed under: uncultured bacterium
Lineage: Bacteria
Description: partial 16S ribosomal RNA
Rfam family: Bacterial small subunit ribosomal RNA
Source: RNAcentral